GACGUAGGAGGCGAGCGUUGUUCGGAUUCAUUGGGCGUAAAGGGUGCGUAGGCGGCGCGGUAAGUCGGGUGUGAAAUCUCGGAGCUUAACUCCGAAACUGCAUUCGAUACUGCCGUGCUUGAGGACUGGAGAGGAGACUGGAAUUUACGGUGUAGCGGUGAAAUGCGUAGAUAUCGUAAGGAAGACCAGUGGCGAAGGCGGGUCUCUGGACAGUUCCUGACGCUGAGGCACGAAGGCCAGGGGAGCAAACGGG
This 253-nucleotide ribosomal RNA is filed under the name uncultured bacterium. RNAcentral's name for it is "partial 16S ribosomal RNA". It matches the Rfam family "Bacterial small subunit ribosomal RNA", at positions 524 to 776 of the family's 1533-position model. The record is from RNAcentral.